UAGCCAUGGUGCGGGCACUGGUUCAACAGAUCCUUGAAUCUUUCCCAAAAUUGAUAAAACAUUUCAUUGUCCUUUUGGGAAAAUGUGGAAAUUUGUCGUUUUAGACU
Small nucleolar RNA from Humulus lupulus (European hop), 107 nucleotides. The record is from RefSeq and is a predicted model, not a curated record. Lineage: Eukaryota; Viridiplantae; Streptophyta; Magnoliopsida; Rosales; Cannabaceae.